Molecule: ribosomal RNA, 629 nt
Filed under: metal-contaminated soil clone K20-20
Lineage: Bacteria; Pseudomonadati; Planctomycetota; Planctomycetia; Planctomycetales
Description: bacterial SSU rRNA
Rfam family: Bacterial small subunit ribosomal RNA
Source: RNAcentral
GCAUGCAAGUCGCGCGAUAAGCUCCCGCAAGGGAGUGGAAAGCGGCGAAAGGGACAGUAAUGCGUAGAUAACCUACCCCCGGGACCGGGAUAGCUGCGGGAAACUGCAAUUAAUACCGGAUAACGUCUCCGGACCAAAUGGUGUGAUUCCGCCAGGGGAUGGGUCUGCGUCCUAUUAGCUAGUUGGCGUGGUAACGGCACACCAAGGCAAAGAUGGGUAGCAGGUGUGAGAGCACGACCUGCGUCACUGGGACUGAGACACUGCCCAGACACCUACGGGUGGCUGCAGUCGAGGAUCUUCGGCAAUGGGCGCAAGCCUGACCGAGCGACGCCGCGUGCGGGAUGAAGGCCUUCGGGUUGUAAACCGCUGUCAGAGAGGCGGAAAUAUAGGGGGGUUCUCCCUUCUAUUUGACCUAUUCUCACAGGAAGUGCGGGCUAAGUCCGUGCCAGCAGCCGCGGUAACACGGACCGCACGAACGUUAUUCGGUAUCACUGGGCUUAAAGGGUGCGUAUGCGGCUUGGCAAGUUGGGUGUGAAAGCCCUCGGCUCAACCGAGGAAUUGCGCUCAAUACUGCCGAGCUCGAGAGAGACAGAGGUAAGCGGAACUAAUGGUGGAGCGGUGAAAUGCGU